AGUGAACGCUGGCGGUAGGCCUAACACAUGCAAGUCGAACGGCAGCACAGUAAGAGCUUGCUCUUACGGGUGGCGAGUGGCGGACGGGUGAGGAAUACAUCGGAAUCUACUUUUUCGUGGGGGAUAACGUAGGGAAACUUACGCUAAUACCGCAUACUACCUACGGGUGAAAUCAGGGGAUCUUCGGACCUUGCGCGAUUGAAUGAGCCGAUGUCGGAUUAGCUAGUUGGCGGGGUAAAGGCCCACCAAGGCGACGCUCCGUAGCUGGUCUGAGAGGAUGAUAAGGCACACUGGAACUGAGACACGGUCCAGACUCCUACGGGAGGCAGCAGUGGGGAAUAUUGGACAAUGGGCGCAAGCCUGAUCCAGCCAUACCGCGUGGGUGAAGAAGGCCUUCGGGUUGUAAAGCCCUUUUGUUGGGAAAGAAAAGCAGCAGGUUAAUACCCCGCUGUUCUGACGGUACCCAAAGAAUAAGCACCGGCUAACUUCGUG
Molecule: ribosomal RNA, 492 nt
Filed under: uncultured bacterium
Lineage: Bacteria
Description: partial 16S ribosomal RNA
Rfam family: Bacterial small subunit ribosomal RNA
Source: RNAcentral